RNAcentral lists this ribosomal RNA (274 nucleotides) under uncultured bacterium. RNAcentral's name for it is "partial 16S ribosomal RNA". It matches the Rfam family "Bacterial small subunit ribosomal RNA", at positions 523 to 796 of the family's 1533-position model. The record is from RNAcentral.
AUACGGAGGGUGCAAGCGUUGAUCGGAAUUACUGGGCGUAAAGCGUACGUAGGCGGUUAUUUAAGUCAGAUGUGAAAGCCCCGGGCUUAACUUGGGAACUGCAUUUGAAACUGGGUAACUAGAGUUUAGUAGAGGGGAGUGGAAUUUCAGGUGUAGCGGUGAAAUGCGUAGAGAUCUGAAGGAACACCAGUGGCGAAGGCGACUCCCUGGACUAAAACUGACGCUGAGGUACGAAAGCGUGGGUAGCAAACAGGAUUAGAAACCCUAGUAGUCC